RNAcentral lists this microRNA (21 nucleotides) under Nicotiana tabacum (common tobacco). RNAcentral describes it as "nta-miR6153". The record is from miRBase by way of RNAcentral. Lineage: Eukaryota; Viridiplantae; Streptophyta; Magnoliopsida; Solanales; Solanaceae.
UAGGACCAUAUUCACUAUUUG